RNAcentral lists this non-coding RNA (23 nucleotides) under Cricetulus griseus (Chinese hamster). The record is from RNAcentral. Lineage: Eukaryota; Metazoa; Chordata; Mammalia; Rodentia; Cricetidae.
GGGAGAAGGAACUGGGAAUGAUG